UGAGUGGGCCGGGCAGUCGCUGGCCGAACAUAUUUUUCGGUAUCGAAAUUGGCAUUUUCAUCUUUCGAGAUGUUGUGGCAAUUUUUGUACCAAAAAUAUUCUGGCGAGAGGAAAGUCCGGGCUCCGUAGGAUGCGAUGGUGGGUAACGCCCACCAGCCGUGAGGCUAGGGAAAGUGCCACAGAAAACAAACCGCCAGCAUGCUCUGGCUACUGGUAAGGGUGAAAAGGUGAGGUAAGAGCUCACCAGCAGGCCGGGUGACCGGCCUGGCUUGGUAAACCCCAUCGGGAGCAAGGCCAAACAGAAAAGAGUCCGCUUGAAACAGCGGCCUGAGGCGAUCCGCCUCGGUUUCUUUUCGGGUGGGCUGCUUCAGGUGGCAGGUAACUGUCAUCGUAGAGAAAUGAUUGCUGCUUUUGGGCUUUGCCCAAAAGAACAAAACCCGGCUUACAGGCCCACUCAGAUU
Molecule: RNase P RNA, 461 nt
Filed under: Pirellulales bacterium
Lineage: Bacteria; Pseudomonadati; Planctomycetota; Planctomycetia; Pirellulales
Description: RNase P RNA component class A
Rfam family: Bacterial RNase P class A
About the family: Ribonuclease P (RNase P) is a ubiquitous endoribonuclease, found in archaea, bacteria and eukarya as well as chloroplasts and mitochondria. Its best characterised activity is the generation of mature 5'-ends of tRNAs by cleaving the 5'-leader elements of precursor-tRNAs.
Source: RNAcentral